Molecule: non-coding RNA, 77 nt
Filed under: Oceanobacillus massiliensis
Lineage: Bacteria; Bacillati; Bacillota; Bacilli; Caryophanales; Bacillaceae
Description: Cyclic di-GMP-I riboswitch
Rfam family: c-di-GMP-I riboswitch aptamer
About the family: GEMM was predicted in a large-scale screen for bacterial structured RNA regulatory elements. Genes associated with GEMM are involved in a diverse array of functions, including chemotaxis regulation, signal transduction, secretion and chitin.
Source: RNAcentral
AGUAAAGGGCAAACCUAUUGAAAAAUAGGGACGCAAAGUCACGGGUCUAAAGUAUUAAACUAUGACGGCUGGAUUGU